Molecule: transfer RNA, 77 nt
Filed under: Candidatus Phaeomarinibacter ectocarpi
Lineage: Bacteria; Pseudomonadati; Pseudomonadota; Alphaproteobacteria; Hyphomicrobiales; Parvibaculaceae
Also listed under: 10 other names
Description: tRNA-Asp (GTC) (tRNA-Asp-GTC-1-1)
Rfam family: tRNA
About the family: Transfer RNA (tRNA) molecules are approximately 80 nucleotides in length.
Source: RNAcentral
GGGGGUGUAGCUCAGUUGGUUAGAGUGCCGGCCUGUCACGCCGGAGGUCGCGGGUUCGAGUCCCGUCACUCCCGCCA